RNAcentral lists this ribosomal RNA (484 nucleotides) under uncultured bacterium. RNAcentral's name for it is "partial 16S ribosomal RNA". It matches the Rfam family "Bacterial small subunit ribosomal RNA", at positions 30 to 507 of the family's 1533-position model. The record is from RNAcentral.
AUUGAACGCUGGCGGCAGGCCUAACACAUGCAAGUCGAGCGGAUGAAGGGAGCUUGCUCCUGGAUUCAGCGGCGGACGGGUGAGUAAUGCCUAGGAAUCUGCCUGGUAGUGGGGGAUAACGUCCGGAAACGGGCGCUAAUACCGCAUACGUCCUGAGGGAGAAAGUGGGGGAUCUUCGGACCUCACGCUAUCUGAUGAGCCUAGGUCGGAUUAGCUAGUUGGUGGGGUAAAGGCCUACCAAGGCGACGAUCCGUAACUGGUCUGAGAGGAUGAUCAGUCACACUGGAACUGAGACACGGUCCAGACUCCUACGGGAGGCAGCAGUGGGGAAUAUUGGACAAUGGGCGAAAGCCUGAUCCAGCAAUGCCGCGUGUGUGAAGAAGGUCUUCGGAUCGUAAAGCACUUUAAGUUGGGAGGAAGGGAAGUAAGUUAAUACCUUGCUGUUUUGACGUUACCAACAGAAUAAGCACCGGCUAACUUCGUG